CCGGGGGUUGCCUUAGUAGCGGCGAGUGAGCGGCAAUAGCUCAAAUUUGAAAUCUGGCACUUUCAGUGUCCGAGUUGUAAUUUGAAGAAGGUAUCUUUGGGUCUAGCUCUUGUCUAUGUUUCUUGGAACAGAACGUCACAGAGGGUGAGAAUCCCGUGCGAUGAGAUGUCUAGAUCUAUGUAAAGUUCCUUCGAAGAGUCGAGUUGUUUGGGAAUGCAGCUCUAAGUGGGUGGUAAAUUCCAUCUAAAGCUAAAUAUUGGCGAGAGACCGAUAGCGAACAAGUACAGUGAUGGAAAGAUGAAAAGAACUUUGAAAAGAGAGUGAAAAAGUACGUGAAAUUGUUGAAAGGGAAGGGCUUGAGAUCAGACUUGGUAUUUUGUAUGUUACUCUCUCGGGGGUGGCCUCUACAGUUUACCGGGCCAGCAUCAGUUUGAGCGGUAGGAGAAUUGCGUAGGAAUGUGGCUCGGCCUCGGUCGAGUGUUAUAGCCUUCGUCGAUACUGCCAGCUUAGACUGAGGACUGCGGCUUCGGCCUAGGAUGUUGGCAUAAUGAUCUUAAGUCGCCCGUCUUGACACGCGAACCAAAAGUGGUGCAUAUCAAUA
This 601-nucleotide ribosomal RNA is filed under the name Lodderomyces elongisporus. RNAcentral's name for it is "eukaryotic LSU rRNA". It matches the Rfam family "Eukaryotic large subunit ribosomal RNA", at positions 68 to 688 of the family's 3401-position model. Lineage: Eukaryota; Fungi; Ascomycota; Pichiomycetes; Serinales; Debaryomycetaceae. The record is from RNAcentral.